Non-coding RNA from Morchella snyderi, 81 nucleotides. NCBI's taxonomy places the organism in Eukaryota, Fungi, Ascomycota, Pezizomycetes, Pezizales, Morchellaceae. The record is from the annotation of a GenBank genome assembly.
UUCUCCGUGGCGCAAUUGGCUAGCGCGUUCGACUGUUAAGAAGCAAUCGAGAGGUUGACAGUUCAAGCCUGUCCGGGGAAG